RNAcentral lists this ribosomal RNA (752 nucleotides) under uncultured bacterium. RNAcentral's name for it is "bacterial SSU rRNA". It matches the Rfam family "Bacterial small subunit ribosomal RNA", at positions 97 to 887 of the family's 1533-position model. The record is from RNAcentral.
GGCAGACGGGUGAGUAACAUGUGGGAAUCUGCCUUGUGGUUCAGGACAACAUUGGGAAACCGAUGCUAAUACUGGAUAAGCCCUUACGGGGAAAGUUUUAAUGCCAUAAGAUGAGCCCGCACUUGAUUAGUUAGUUGGUGAGGUAAUGGCUCACCAAGACAAUGAUCAAUAGCUGAUCUGAGAGGAUGAUCAGCCACACUGGGACUGAGACACGGCCCAGACUCCUACGGGAGGCAGCAGUGGGGAAUCUUGCACAAUGGAGGAAACUCUGAUGCAGCGAUGCCGCGUGAGUGAAGAAGGCCUUUGGGUUGUAAAGCUCUUUUGUAGGGGAAGAUAAUGACUGUACCCUAAGAAUAAGGUCCGGCUAACUUCGUGCCAGCAGCCGCGGUAAUACGAAGGGACCUAGCGUAGUUCGGAAUUACUGGGCGUAAAGCGCGCGUAGGCCGUUGAGUUAGUUAAUUGUGAAAUCCCAAAGCUUAACUUUGGAACUGCAAUUAAAACUGCUCGACUAGAGUUUGAUAGAGGAAAGCGGAAUACAUAGUGUAGAGGUGAAAUUCGUAGAUAUUAUGUAGAACACCAGUUGCGAAGGCGGCUUUCUGGAUCAACACUGACGCUGAGGCGCGAAAGUAUGGGUAGCAAAGAGGAUUAGAUACCCUCGUAGUCCAUACCAUAAACGAUGAUUGCUAGAUGUUGGAAAUUUAUUUUCAGUAUCGCAGCUAACGCAUUAAGCAAUCCGCCUGGGGAGUACGACC